Molecule: ribosomal RNA, 378 nt
Filed under: Simkania sp.
Lineage: Bacteria; Pseudomonadati; Chlamydiota; Chlamydiia; Parachlamydiales; Simkaniaceae
Description: Bacterial large subunit ribosomal RNA
Rfam family: Bacterial large subunit ribosomal RNA
Source: Rfam by way of RNAcentral
UCAUCGCAUCCUGGGGCUGGAGAAGGUCCCAAGGGUUUGGCUGUUCGCCAAUUAAAGCGGUACGCGAGUUGGGUUCAAAACGUCGUGAGACAGUUUGGUCCCUAUCUGUUGUGGGCGUAGGAUACUUGAGAAGAGCUGCUUCUAGUACGAGAGGACCGAAGUGGACGAACCAAUGGUGUGCCGGUUGUACUGCCAAGUGCAUAGCCGGGUAGCUAUGUUCGGAAAGGAUAAGCGUUGAAAGCAUCUAAACGCCAAGCCUCCUUCAAGAUAAGGUAUCCCAAUGAGACCCCCUGAAGAUGACAGGGUAGAUAGGUUGGGAGUGUAAGCGCAGCAAUGCGUUGAGCUGACCAAUACUAAUCGGUCCAAUGGCUUGAUCAC